This 173-nucleotide ribosomal RNA is filed under the name Setipinna melanochir (dusky-hairfin anchovy). Its description in RNAcentral is "partial 12S rRNA". The record is from RNAcentral. Lineage: Eukaryota; Metazoa; Chordata; Actinopteri; Clupeiformes; Engraulidae.
CACCGCGGUUAUACGAGAGGCCCAAGUUGAUUUACUCGGCGUAAAGAGUGGUUAUGGAAUUCUUAUACUAAAGCCGAAAGCCCCUCCAACUGUUAUACGUGCCCAGAGGCUAGAACAACACUACACGAAAGUAGCUUUAUUAACGCCAACCAGAACCCACGACAGCUGGGGCA